CGUAGGGUGCGAGCGUUAAUCGGAAUUACUGGGCGUAAAGCGUGCGCAGGCGGUUUUGUAAGACAGGCGUGAAAUCCCCGGGCUUAACCUGGGAACUGCGUUUGUGACUGCAAGGCUAGAGUACGGCAGAGGGGGGUGGAAUUCCACGUGUAGCAGUGAAAUGCGUAGAGAUGUGGAGGAACACCAAUGGCGAAGGCAGCCCCCUGGGUCGAUACUGACGCUCAUGCACGAAAGCGUGGGUAGCAAACAGGAUU
This 254-nucleotide ribosomal RNA is filed under the name uncultured bacterium. RNAcentral describes it as "partial 16S ribosomal RNA". It matches the Rfam family "Bacterial small subunit ribosomal RNA", at positions 526 to 779 of the family's 1533-position model. The record is from RNAcentral.